RNAcentral lists this unclassified non-coding RNA (252 nucleotides) under uncultured Eubacteriales bacterium. Its description in RNAcentral is "contains 16S-23S intergenic spacer region". It matches the Rfam family "Bacterial small subunit ribosomal RNA", at positions 524 to 776 of the family's 1533-position model. Lineage: Bacteria; Bacillati; Bacillota; Clostridia; Eubacteriales. The record is from RNAcentral.
UACGUAUGGACCGAGCGUUGUCCGGAAUCAUUGGGCGUAAAGGGUACGUAGGCGGCCUAUUAAGUUAGAAGUGAAAUAAUAUAGCUCAACUAUAUAAAGCUUUUAAAACUGCUAGGCUUGAGAGAUGGAAGGGAAAGUGGAAUUCCUAGUGUAGCGGUGAAAUGCGCAGAUAUUAGGAAGAAUACCGGUGGCGAAGGCGACUUUCUGGUCAUCAUCUGACGCUGAGGUACGAAAGCGUGGGUAGCAAACAGG